UACGAAGGGGGCUAGCGUUGCUCGGAAUUACUGGGCGUAAAGGGCGCGUAGGCGGACAGUUAAGUCAGAGGUGAAAGCCCAGGGCUCAACCCUGGAAUUGCCUUUGAUACUGGCUGUCUUGAGUGCGGGAGAGGUGUGUGGAACUCCGAGUGUAGAGGUGAAAUUCGUAGAUAUUCGGAAGAACACCAGUGGCGAAGGCGACACACUGGCCCGUAACUGACGCUGAGGCGCGAAGGCGUGGGGAGCAAACAGG
This 253-nucleotide ribosomal RNA is filed under the name uncultured bacterium. RNAcentral's name for it is "partial 16S ribosomal RNA". It matches the Rfam family "Bacterial small subunit ribosomal RNA", at positions 524 to 776 of the family's 1533-position model. The record is from RNAcentral.